GCUGGGCAUGGUGGCCCAUGCCUGUAGUCCCAGCUACUCAGGAGGCUGAGGCAGGAGAAUCGCUUGAACCCGGGAGGUGGAGGUUGCAGUGAGCCGAGAUCGCGCCAUUGCACUCCACCCUGGUGACAGAGCGAGACUCUGUCUCAA
Molecule: non-coding RNA, 147 nt
Filed under: Pan troglodytes (chimpanzee)
Lineage: Eukaryota; Metazoa; Chordata; Mammalia; Primates; Hominidae
Source: Rfam by way of RNAcentral